UGCCCCGAGAUGAGUUCUCCCUGACUCCUUGAGAGUCCUGAAGGAACGUUGAAGACGACGACGUUGAUAGGCCGGGUGUGUAAGCGCAGCGAUGCGUUGAGCUAACCGGUACUAAUGAACCGUGAGGCUUAACCUUACAACGCCGAAGCUGUU
This 153-nucleotide ribosomal RNA is filed under the name Escherichia coli 95JB1. RNAcentral describes it as "partial 23S ribosomal RNA". The stretch from base 1 to 136 matches the Rfam family "Bacterial large subunit ribosomal RNA", at positions 2795 to 2925 of the family's 2925-position model. The record is from RNAcentral. Lineage: Bacteria; Pseudomonadati; Pseudomonadota; Gammaproteobacteria; Enterobacterales; Enterobacteriaceae.